AGACCACUGACGCCGCAGGUUAACUAUGAUCAUUACAGCACAAAGGUGGCAAUUUAAAAGAAAAGGAACCUCUUCAAAUGAUCACUGUGUGGAAGCUGAUGUAUUGUACCAGAAUCUGCCAACUGAUAUGACAGGAAGAAGGGAGAUGAUUAACCUGUGAUUGGCCUGGGGCAGCACAACAAAGGCAGGAGGAGGAAGACAGAAUGGACCACUAGCCUAAGUUACAAUACUACAACAACUUGCACUCGCAUGGGCCCUUGGCAUGAGAAACAUUUUGAACCACUUCUGAGUGUGUAACGGCACAAAAACUGCAACAAAACAGAAAUUGCUGGAGAAAUCAGUUAACGUUUCGAAUCCAAUAACCCUUCUUCAGAACACAUGGGACGAAAACUGCACUUGAAUCAAAGAAGGAGACAUUAGAACAGGAUCAUAAAGGGAACAUGCCCACAUAAACUGAAGAGAAAAAGGAAAAAAUAAGGCAGGGGACAGACAAGGGAAAAUGUUCCAACAGAAGUGAGUAGAACACCACAGAUUUACGGCAACUGCAGACGACCCGACAUCCUACGUGCAGAAGGCAGAAAGCUCUCUGAUGAAGGGUCUAGGCCCGAAACGUCAGCUUUUGUGCUCCUGAGAUGCUGCUUGGCCUGCUGUGUUCAUCCAGCCUCACAUUUUAUUAUCUUGGAAUCUCCAGCAUCUGCAGUUCCCAUUAUCUCUGAUCCUAC
Molecule: long non-coding RNA, 722 nt
Organism: Stegostoma tigrinum
Lineage: Eukaryota; Metazoa; Chordata; Chondrichthyes; Orectolobiformes; Stegostomatidae
Exons: 5
Source: RefSeq, a predicted model, not a curated record